This 1092-nucleotide ribosomal RNA is filed under the name Triticum aestivum (bread wheat). RNAcentral's name for it is "partial small subunit ribosomal RNA". Lineage: Eukaryota; Viridiplantae; Streptophyta; Magnoliopsida; Poales; Poaceae. The record is from RNAcentral.
AUGGGUUCUUCAGGAAGCACCGGCCAAGACAUGUGCAAGCAAAUUGCAGAUGAUAAUGAUGCAGUCAAAAACUUGGAGGCCGUUCUAGACAUGGAUAUGAAGAGCAAUGAUGGUAUCAUAGAGUUACAGAUGAGAGCUAUAGAGGUUCUGACACAAUUAGUCUUGCAUCAUCCAGCAUGUACUUCUGCAGAAGAACUUAUCAAGAGGGCACUGCACAUCUUCCUUACUGCAGAUUGGAUGGAAGAUUAUCUGAAAGAUGAGAAAAGGAAGAUCGAGCACCAGACUACAAGUCAUGUGCAAAAGAAGAUGAAAGAAGCCAAGGAAACUGCAAGCCGGCUCAAAGAACAGGCUGGUGCAACAUUGGCCAUGCUGUCCAGUGAUUCAGAGGCUAUCAAGAGUUUCACAGGAUGUAAUGAUGAUGUCAAUAAUCUUACUGAAUUACUCGACACCGACAUCAAGACCAUCAACUGCAAAAUAAGUGCAACAGAUACUGUGAAAAUAGAGAUCAGCAUUGCAUGCCGUAUUAGUGCAGCAGUCAUCUUGAAGCAUUUGAGCAACUAUGUCAAGGAACCAACUUUACGGAAGGUACUCAGACAAUUGCUUCCUGUACAACAAGACGAGCAGAGCCAUAGCAAGCACAGGAGGCUACAAGCACCGCUGUUAUCACUCAUCACAGUGAUUCGUGCAAACUCCAAUCUUAGUCUUAGACCAAUCUUAAUGUCGCAGAGGCCGGCGGAUACCCUGGAAGAGUUAGUGGUGAGGCUCAAAAGGAUGGCGGACAACAUGUACGCCACCCCUGCGUGCCUCGCGAUACAGAAGCUUACUUGCCAGAUGGUUAUAGAUUUCAUGAAGGAUGAUGGAAAUGUCAGAGUGAUCGACCAGCACAAUAUCGUUGGCACAUUACUGAAGGCUUCAGAGAUGAUGGUGGGCCUUGAGAACAGCAUUCUUUUCUCUGGAGUCGAUCCUGACUGCUAUGGGGUUCCUCUAAGGCCUUUCUCUAAAGUUCUCGCUAAAAAUGCCGAAGAUCUUUUGACACAGAGGAAACAAGCACUUGGCAUCAACAAUGUGCCUGCCGGUACACCAGUACCAUGA